This 30-nucleotide non-coding RNA is filed under the name Homo sapiens (human). Lineage: Eukaryota; Metazoa; Chordata; Mammalia; Primates; Hominidae. The record is from RNAcentral.
UAGGAGAUGGGCACAGGCAGCCUGCUGUGA